CAGGUUACAUCAUUAAAGUUGCACACACGUUUCAUAGAGGUUGUAUGAUGUCGG
Molecule: small RNA, 54 nt
Filed under: Plasmodium falciparum 3D7
Lineage: Eukaryota; Apicomplexa; Aconoidasida; Haemosporida; Plasmodiidae
Description: Pfa-starR7053
Source: RNAcentral